This is a long non-coding RNA of Oxyura jamaicensis (ruddy duck), 915 nucleotides long. RefSeq lists it as uncharacterized. The transcript has 2 exons. NCBI's taxonomy places the organism in Eukaryota, Metazoa, Chordata, Aves, Anseriformes, Anatidae. The record is from RefSeq and is a predicted model, not a curated record.
CAAUGUAUAUCCAAUCAUUGCAUUAGGACUCAAUCAUAAUGGAACUAUACUUUAUCCUAAGGAGCAUAAAGUAUGGGCCCAUCAAAAGGGAGGAAAGUGGCAAACAAUUGAUGUGAAUGCAUAAUAACAUGCUUGAAGCCCAAGACAUUUGUCCUGACACUGAAUAAAAUAUUUGCCACUUUGAGAUACAUCCUAAUGAAACCCUUGAAACUACUUGUAUAUAUUGGGAAAGGCUGUGUUUGCAUGAGAAACCAUUGUGAUUCUAUAGUCAUAGAUAAUACUAUUGUAGAUACCAGUAAUCACUCUAAUGUUUGUGUUUGUAAUUUUACCAAAAUUCUAGGAUGUUAUUUUAGUUACUCAGCUCCUGUCACCUCUUAUCAACUUAUUGCACCCCAUUAUAUUCUGCUUCAUCUGCCACCUACUCCUAUUGGAAUGAACCUUACCUUGGUGAAGAAAUUGCUGAUACAUGAAGACUUAAAGUGGCUGAUGAAACAAGUUCGAGAAAAUGGACAAAAGACUCUGAUUACUGUCCAUCAUGAUGUACGAGAAGUAUAUCAAGUGAUGGAAAGAGUAAAGAGAGAUGAAAAACACCGUUGGUGAGACAGUUUGGAUGGUCACCAGCUGCCACAGGAAUCUUCAAGAAGAUGCUUCACCCUGUUGUUGUUUUGUUAAUACUCAUUGUAUUAUGCUUUAUGCUGACAAUUAGUUUGUAUGUUAAAUUCUGGAUUAUGAUGCAACGUUUAGCAUCCCUACACAAUGUACAUACACUUGAUAAACCUCAUCCCGAGAAUGUAUGUGAUAUCCCUGACAUAUUCCAAAUGUCGUGAAGCUUGAGUGACUAUAGCCACGGGGUGGAUUAUGUGGUGCAAUUGACUAAAGUAACUAGGAAAAUAAAACUAACAUUCACAUUUUAAA